CGCCCCGGCCGGGGACGCGCACCGCCGUGGGGAUCCGCCGCCCGUCUGUGAAAUCUUUUAGACGACUCUCGGCAACGGAUAUCUCGGCUCUCGCAUCGAUGAAGAACGUAGCGAAAUGCGAUACUUGGUGUGAAUUGCAGAAUCCCGUGAACCAUC
Molecule: ribosomal RNA, 156 nt
Filed under: Neolitsea sericea
Lineage: Eukaryota; Viridiplantae; Streptophyta; Magnoliopsida; Laurales; Lauraceae
Description: 5.8S ribosomal RNA
Rfam family: 5.8S ribosomal RNA (bases 64-156)
About the family: 5.8S ribosomal RNA (5.8S rRNA) is a component of the large subunit of the eukaryotic ribosome. It is transcribed by RNA polymerase I as part of the 45S precursor that also contains 18S and 28S rRNA.
Source: RNAcentral